Molecule: long non-coding RNA, 750 nt
Organism: Prionailurus viverrinus (fishing cat)
Lineage: Eukaryota; Metazoa; Chordata; Mammalia; Carnivora; Felidae
Exons: 3
Source: RefSeq, a predicted model, not a curated record
GUGAGACGCGCAUGCGUGGGCCAGGAGCUGCUGGAUGCUCCCCCAGAGAGGCUGAUGCGUUGUCUCCGUCUGCCCCCUAAAGCUAUUUUUUUCUUUCAGCGCUCAGUGGAUGCUAUCUCUGAGGAUGCAGAAAACAUGGUGCUGAAUUAUCAUCAUCAUUCAAGCUACCCUUCCCCAAAAAGCAAAAUGAACACUUCUUUGCACAGUAUUUAGAAAACAAUUUAAAGAUUUUAAAGGCUAGAGUCUUCAGUGGAAAAUUUGCCGAAAUUACAAAAUCAAUCUGACAAUGUGUGAACAGGAUCCAAGUGAUUCACCUACAACCUUCUCUCCUGCUGUGAGUGCGCAGGCUCAGGUGAGGGAAAUAGUAGGCUUUUUUCUUUCCAGCUUCACCUGAUAGGAAAAGCACAGGGAGGCAGAGUUCCACAUUCAGCAGCUUCUUGGAGCUCUGUGACCUGGUUCUGUACAAUGAGGAGAAGGGCACCCAUCCUACAGGGUAUUUGUGAGAAAUAAAUGAGAGCAAGUGUGCAUAGCAUCCAGCACAGUCCUAGGCAGAUAGAGGGCGCCCAGAAAGUCGUAGUUAUUUUCAUGCUUAGGUCCCUGGAGUCCUUACAGUACAAGCCUAGUGGAUCCAUUAAUAAUCAUAAUUAGUGGCACCUGGCUGGUUCAGUUGGCAGACCAUGCCACUCUUGACCUUGGGAGUCCUGAGUUUGAGCCCACGUUGGGGACAGAGGUUAUUUGCAAAAAGAGGGA